GACGAACGCUGGCGGCGUGCUUAACACAUGCAAGUCGAACGAGUGGCGAACGGGUGAGUAACACGUGGGUGACCUGCCCUGCACUUCGGGAUAAGCCUGGGAAACUGGGUCUAAUACCGGAUAGUGUGGGAUGGGCCCGCGGCCUAUCAGCUUGUUGGUGGGGUAAUGGCUACCAAGGCGCGACGGGUAGCUGGUCUGAGAGGAUGACCAGCCACACUGUAACUGAGACACGGUCCAGACUCCUACGGGAGGCAGCAGUGGGGAAUAUUGCACAAUGGGCGCAAGCCUGAUGCAGCCAUGCCGCGUGUGUGAAGAAGGCCUUCGGGUUGUAAAGCACUUUCAGCGGGGAGGCGUUACCCGCAGAAGAAGCACCGGCUAACUCCGUGCCAGCCGCCGCGGUAAUUC
Molecule: ribosomal RNA, 405 nt
Filed under: uncultured bacterium
Lineage: Bacteria
Description: partial 16S ribosomal RNA
Rfam family: Bacterial small subunit ribosomal RNA
Source: RNAcentral